CAUAUACCCUGCAUGAGUGGCCCUCAUGUGGAUGAGUUAAUGUGGGGCUUGAAGGUUCAGAUGUGAUGUUUAGUGCCCGGAGAAAAUUCAGAGCUGAUUAAAGAGGAUCGCUUUCCGAUGAGUGCAGGAAUGACAUUUCUCCUGACUCGUCAUAAAUUUGGAGUCCAUCCAUAUAUGUUGGUUACUAAACUUAUUAUUGAGAAGGCAGGCGUCGUGUUUGAGUGCGAUCGCUGUGUGGACGAUCAUCAUGACUCACUGCGCGGUGCUGCUGAGCACAUUAAGAAAAUAUCUUGCAUUGACACACAGAGUUGGGAUUUACUGAAACUUGCGGCAGCGUUCAAGGUGAUAUGCUGCCCUAAAGAAAAAGUUGAACUUGGAGAACAUGUAACCAUAAUAUUUUGUGAAUGCGUACGCAUUUUGAUGGAAAAUUCUCAUUCAACUAAGGCCGAGUUUAGUUCCAAAAUUUUUCUUCAAACCUCCAACUUUUCUAUCACAUUAAAAUUUUUCUACACACACAAACUUCCAACUUUUCUGUCACAUCGUUCCAAUUUCAACCAAACUUCCAAUUUUGGAGUAAACUAAACACACCCUA
RNAcentral lists this long non-coding RNA (592 nucleotides) under Oryza sativa Indica Group (long-grained rice). RNAcentral describes it as "lncRNA OsZS97_03G021480". Lineage: Eukaryota; Viridiplantae; Streptophyta; Magnoliopsida; Poales; Poaceae. The record is from RNAcentral.